UAUUAUAUUUACUACUUAAGGGACUUCGUGCUGCGAUGCGGCUGACGCGAUGCGGUGGGAAGAUAAUAUUAUUUGUCUCAAUAUUGAAUAAUUAAAAAUCAAAGAAUGAAAUUUAAAAAUAAAAUUAAAAUAUAUUUCUUUCUAAAAACAUUUAAACCUAAUAAGUAAAAUAAAUAAAUUAUUUUAUCUCUCAAAAAAAAGUGAAAUAAAUAAAUUAUUUUAAAAUAAAAUAAAAGCACAUUACAACAUUAAAAAAGAUGAAUAAUAUUUUUCUAUUAUCAUCAAUGUAGAAUUUAUAAAUAAAAAAAUAUCGCGAUUAGUCGGUUGCUAUAUAUUUUUUGCGGUCCCACCGGAGGAUACAGAAGUAUAUUCCUAUAUGCUUUAUUCCCAACUCCAUGUUAUCUAAUAGCCUUAUAUAGGUCUCAAUACCAAACUAAGCCUUAUAUUAGAUAGUUUUAUCUUGUCAAAGUUAAAAUUUAUGCGAUGAAAUUUUAUACUUGGUGUAGAUAAAAAAAAAUGUUGAGAGAAAAAAAUAAAAAAAUAAAAAGUUAUAACUAUUAACACCACUUUUUUUUUCUAUUAUGCAUUAAUAUUUUUCAAUAUUAUUUGUUUCAGUAUUGAAUAAUUAAAAAUUAAAGAAUGAAAUUAAAGUAUAUUUAUUUCUAAAAAUAUUUAAACCUAAUAAGUAAAAUAAAUAAAUCAGUUUAAAAUAAAAUAAAAGUUCAUUAUAGUAUUAAAAAAGAAGAAUAAUAUUUUUUUAUUAUCAUCAAGGUAGAAUUUACAAAAAAAAAAAAGAAUAUCGCGAUUAGUCGGUUACGAUAUAUUUUUUACGGUCCCACCGAAGGACACAGAAGUAUAUUCCUAUAUGUUUUUACCCCAACUCCAUAUUAUCUAAUACCGGCGUUAGAUAGGCCUCAAUACCAACCUUAUAUUAGAUAGUUUUAUCUAGUUAAAAUCAAAAUUUAUGUGAUAAAAUUUUAUACUUGGUGUAGAAAGAAAAGAAAAAAGUGUUGAGGGGAAAAAAUAAAAAAAGAAAUGGUAUAAGGUGUGUGAGAGAGAGUGAGAGAGAGGAAAAAAAAAAAUAUGUAAGACAGAGUGAGAGAGAGGUUGAAAAAAAAAAGCGGGACCCACCGAAGCCUCCCGCCAAACGCGGAGAGGCCGCGCUUCGUGACGGGUUAAUAAUAUUUCAGUAAAUUAAUAUAUAUAAUUUUAAAAUUUUAAAAUUGAAAAAAUUUAUAAUGAAAAAUAUAAAACAAACUUAUCUAUCCUUUGUAUAUUAUAAAAGAUAUUUCUUAUUAAUAUUUUUAACUUUCAGUAUUUAUAGAAUUAAAGUAUUCUAAUAACUUUAUUUAAAAAUUAAAUCAAACUUAAUAAUUUUAGUGGCUAUUUUAUCGCGAUGGGGUUGAUCCAUGCGAUAAAAUUUUACACUUGAUGUAGGCAAAAAAAUUAUUAAGAGAGUGAAAAUAAAAAAAAAGAAAGUAAGAGAGAGAGCAAAAAAAAAAUAAAAAAAUAAGAGAGAGAGAGUGAGAGAGAGGAAAAAAUAAAAAAAAAGUAAGAGAGAGAGACAGAGAGAGAGAGUGUGUGUGUGAGUGAGUGAGUGAGUGAGGGAGGGAGAGAAUAAAAAAAAAAGAGUAGGCCCUACCAAAGUCCCCCCGCCAAACGCGGGGAGACUUCGAUUUAACCAACCUUUUAUCAUAUUUAUAGAUUAAGAUAAUUGAUUUUGAUAUUUUUAAUAUUUAAAUUUAAUUAAAUUUUUUAAAUAUGUUGUGUUCCAAGCUUGGUAGCUGGGUCUAGAUAUAGUGGAUGUACCUGGUCAACUCAUCUAUAGAGUGGAGGGCCGAGUUGGAGCCGUUUUAGCACGAAAUAGACGUAAAAACUACUGAAACUGAAUUUUUUGAACUUUUUCGAGCUCAAGAAUUUAUAGCCAUUUAUGCUAGUAACAUAAAUCUAUAGAAAUGAAUUUAAUUUAAUAGCCAAAUUUUUUAUUUCAAAUUUUUAAUUGGUGAAUGUAUAAUUUUCGUAUAAAUUUCAUAUCCAAAUAAUUGGCAAAUCCAUUUUUUAAGUCAUAUUUUUCAACAAAUUUAAAAAAUAAAAAAUAAAUUUUAUUCAUAUUAUACUCGUACCAAAUUUUUACUGAAUUCAAAUUAGCUAACUAUGGUUUGAACUUGUUUCACGUGGUGCUAGUCCUUUUUAGAGUGUGUUUAUGGAUUAUAAUAAGUAUUAGGUGAUUGGAUUAGUCUAUUUUACUAGUUUUUUUUUUUUUUGAGAAAAGGUAGUGAGCUACCUGCUUCAUUCAUUAAACUAAAUGAACUAGGCGUACAUAUUGGAAGCAGCUAGGGCCUCCGGUGCGAGAGACAGGAACGGAGUAAGACGAAAAAUGAAAAAGGGGAAGAGACAAGAUAAAACAAGUAAAACAGAAAAGUAAGGGGGGCAGGAGCAGUUCACAGUAGAUUCAU
This 2456-nucleotide long non-coding RNA is filed under the name Ananas comosus (pineapple). RNAcentral describes it as "long non-coding RNA (ACOM_LNC007394)". The record is from RNAcentral. Lineage: Eukaryota; Viridiplantae; Streptophyta; Magnoliopsida; Poales; Bromeliaceae.